Molecule: ribosomal RNA, 497 nt
Filed under: uncultured bacterium
Lineage: Bacteria
Description: partial 16S ribosomal RNA
Rfam family: Bacterial small subunit ribosomal RNA
Source: RNAcentral
GAUGAACGCUGGCGGCGUGCCUAAUACAUGCAAGUCGAGCGAACGGACGAGAAGCUUGCUUCUCUGAUGUUAGCGGCGGACGGGUGAGUAACACGUGGAUAACCUACCUAUAAGACUGGGAUAACUUCGGGAAACCGGAGCUAAUACCGGAUAAUAUUUUGAACCGCAUGGUUCAAAAGUGAAAGACGGUCUUGCUGUCACUUAUAGAUGGAUCCGCGCUGCAUUAGCUAGUUGGUAAGGUAACGGCUUACCAAGGCAACGAUGCAUAGCCGACCUGUGAGGGUGAUCGGCCACACUGGAACUGGGCCACGGUCCUGACUCCUACGGGAGGCAGCAGUAGGGAAUCUUCCGCAAUGGGCGAAAGCCUGACGGAGCAGCGCCGCGUGAGUGAUGAAGGUCUUCGGAUCGUAAAACUCUGUUAUUAGGGAAGAACAUAUGUGUAAGUAACUGUGCACAUCUUGACGGUACCUAAUCAGAAAGCCACGGCUAACUACGUG